GCGGCGGACGGGUGAGUAAUGCCUAGGAAUCUGCCUGGUAGUGGGGGACAACGUUUCGAAAGGAACGCUAAUACCGCAUACGUCCUACGGGAGAAAGCAGGGGACCUUCGGGCCUUGCGCUAUCAGAUGAGCCUAGGUCGGAUUAGCUAGUUGGUGAGGUAAUGGCUCACCAAGGCGACGAUCCGUAACUGGUCUGAGAGGAUGAUCAGUCACACUGGAACUGAGACACGGUCCAGACUCCUACGGGAGGCAGCAGUGGGGAAUAUUGGACAAUGGGCGAAAGCCUGAUCCAGCCAUGCCGCGUGUGUGAAGAAGGUCUUCGGAUUGUAAAGCACUUUAAGUUGGGAGGAAGGGCAGUAACUUAAUACGUUGCUGUUUUGACGUUACCGACAGAAUAAGCACCGGCUAACUCUGUGCCAGCAGCCGCGGUAAUACAGAGGGUGCAAGCGUUAAUCGGAAUUACUGGGCGUAAAGCGCGCGUAGGUGGUUCGUUAAGUUGGAUGUGAAAUCCCCGGGCUCAACCUGGGAACUGCAUUCAAAACUGUCGAGCUAGAGUAUGGUAGAGGGUGGUGGAAUUUCCUGUGUAGCGGUGAAAUGCGUAGAUAUAGGAAGGAACACCAGUGGCGAAGGCGACCACCUGGACUGAUACUGACACUGAGG
This 660-nucleotide ribosomal RNA is filed under the name Pseudomonas sp. AR-329. Its description in RNAcentral is "bacterial SSU rRNA". It matches the Rfam family "Bacterial small subunit ribosomal RNA", at positions 95 to 751 of the family's 1533-position model. The record is from RNAcentral. Lineage: Bacteria; Pseudomonadati; Pseudomonadota; Gammaproteobacteria; Pseudomonadales; Pseudomonadaceae.